This 386-nucleotide ribosomal RNA is filed under the name marine copepod environmental sample. RNAcentral describes it as "SSU rRNA". It matches the Rfam family "Eukaryotic small subunit ribosomal RNA", at positions 587 to 972 of the family's 1831-position model. Lineage: Eukaryota; Metazoa; Arthropoda; Copepoda. The record is from RNAcentral.
AGCUCCAAUAGCGUAUAUUAAAGUUGUUGUGGUUAAAAAGCUUGUAGUUGGAUCUCGGCGGUCUGGGAGCGGUUCGCUUGCUAGAGUGCUACUGCUCCAUAGUCCGUAGUUUUGCCAGAGGUCUCGGGGUGCUCUUAACCGAGUGUCCCGCGAUGCUGGCAGGUUUACUUUGAAAAAAAUUAGAGUGCUCAAAGCAGGCUUUUACGCCUGAAUAUUCGUGCAUGGAAUAAUAGAAUAGAAAGUCGUUUCUAUUUUGUUGUUUUUUGGAACUCGACUUAAUGAUUAAUAGGGACAGUCGGGGGCAUUUGUAUUCAAACGACAGAGGUGAAAUUCUUGGACCGUUUGACGACAAACUACUGCAAAAGCAUUUGCCAAGAAUGUUUUCA